This 497-nucleotide ribosomal RNA is filed under the name uncultured bacterium. RNAcentral's name for it is "partial 16S ribosomal RNA". It matches the Rfam family "Bacterial small subunit ribosomal RNA", at positions 28 to 507 of the family's 1533-position model. The record is from RNAcentral.
GAUGAACGCUGGCGGCGUGCCUAAUACAUGCAAGUCGAGCGAACAGACGAGGAGCUUGCUCCUCUGACGUUAGCGGCGGACGGGUGAGUAACACGUGGAUAACCUACCUAUAAGACUGGGAUAACUUCGGGAAACCGGAGCUAAUACCGGAUAAUAUAUUGAACCGCAUGGUUCAAUAGUGAAAGACGGUUUUGCUGUCACUUAUAGAUGGAUCCGCGCCGCAUUAGCGAGUUGGUAAGGUAACGGCUUACCAAGGCAACGAUGCGUAGCCGACCUGAGAGGGUGAUCGGCCACACUGGAACUGAGACACGGUCCAGACUCCUACGGUAGGCAGCAGUAGGGAAUCUUCCGCGAUGGGCGAAAGCCGGACGGAGCAACGCCGCGUGAGUGAUGAAGGUCUUCGGAUCGUAAAACUCUGUUAUUAGGGAAGAACAAAUGUGUAAGUAACUAUGCACGUCUUGACGGUACCUAAUCAGAAAGCCACGGCUAACUACGUG